This 253-nucleotide ribosomal RNA is filed under the name uncultured Eubacteriales bacterium. RNAcentral's name for it is "uncultured Clostridiales bacterium partial 16S ribosomal RNA". It matches the Rfam family "Bacterial small subunit ribosomal RNA", at positions 524 to 776 of the family's 1533-position model. Lineage: Bacteria; Bacillati; Bacillota; Clostridia; Eubacteriales. The record is from RNAcentral.
UACGUAGGAGGCAAGCGUUAUCCGGAAUGACUGGGCGUAAAGGGUGCGUAGGUGGUUUGGCAAGUUAGUAGCGUAACCCCGGGGCUCAACCUCGGAACUACUACUAAAACUGUCGGACUUGAGUGCAGGAGGGGCAAUUGGAAUUCCUAGUGUAGCGGUGGAAUGCGUAGAUAUCAGGAGGAAUACCGUUAGCGAAGGCGGCAAUCUGGCUGGAAACUGACGCUGAGGUGCGAAAGCGUGGGUAGCAAACAGG